RNAcentral lists this transfer RNA (76 nucleotides) under Clostridiales bacterium. RNAcentral describes it as "tRNA-Trp". It matches the Rfam family "tRNA". Rfam says of the family: Transfer RNA (tRNA) molecules are approximately 80 nucleotides in length. Lineage: Bacteria; Bacillati; Bacillota; Clostridia; Eubacteriales. The record is from RNAcentral.
GGGGGUAUAGCUCAACUGGUAGAGCAACGGUCUCCAAAACCGUAGGCUAAGUGUUCAAUUCGCUUUGCCCCUGCCA